Molecule: ribosomal RNA, 460 nt
Filed under: uncultured bacterium
Lineage: Bacteria
Description: partial 16S ribosomal RNA
Rfam family: Bacterial small subunit ribosomal RNA
Source: RNAcentral
CCUACGGGUGGCAGCAGUGAGGAAUAUUGGUCAAUGGACGGAAGGCUGAACCAGCCAAGCCGCGUGAGGGAAGAAGGCGCAGUGAGUUGUAGACCGCUUUUGUACGGGGGCAAAUGGCGAGACGUGUACGGUGCUGAGAGUAUCCGACGAAUAAGCAUCGGCUAACUCCGUGCCAGCAGCCGCGGUAAUACGGAGGAUGCAAGCGUUAUCCGGAUUUAUUGGGUUUAAAGGGUGCGUAGGCGGGUCGAUAAGCUCGGGGUGAAAUCGCGGGGCUCAACUCCGGCACUGCCUCUGAUACUGUCGGGCUAGAGUUCGGCUGCGGUAGGCGGAAUGUAUGGUGUAGCGGUGAAAUGCAUAGAGAUCGUACAGAACACCGAUUGCGAAGGCAGCUUACCAAACUACGACUGACGUUGAGGCACGAAAGCGUGGGGAGCGAACAGGAUUAGAUACCCUAGUAGUC